This 253-nucleotide ribosomal RNA is filed under the name uncultured bacterium. RNAcentral describes it as "partial 16S ribosomal RNA". It matches the Rfam family "Bacterial small subunit ribosomal RNA", at positions 524 to 776 of the family's 1533-position model. The record is from RNAcentral.
UACGGAGGGUGCAAGCGUUAUCCGGAUUCACUGGGUUUAAAGGGUGCGUAGGUGGGUUGAUAAGUCAGUGGUGAAAUCUCCGGGCUUAACCCGGAAACUGCCAUUGAUACUAUUUGUCUUGAAUACUGUGGAGGUCAGCGGAAUAUGUCAUGUAGCGGUGAAAUGCUUAGAUAUGACAUAGAACACCAAUUGCGAAGGCAGCUGGCUACACAAAUAUUGACACUGAGGCACGAAAGCGUGGGGAUCAAACAGG